UUCUUUAUGGUUUUUGUAUAAAGUAAUUUCUGCCCACUGAUUAAUUUAUUUAAAUGGCUGCAGUAUAUUGACUGUACAAAGGUAGCAUAAUAAUUAGUUUUUUAAUUGGAAACUUGUAUGAAAGGAUAAAUGAGAAAUUUUCUUUAUUAAUUUUAAUAUUAAAAUUUUAUUUUUUGGUUAAAAAGCUAAAGUUUUUUUUAGGGACGAUAAGACCCUAUAGAAUUUAAAAUAUAAUUUAAUUUUGAUUUUAUUUAGGUUUAAUUUAUCUAAUUUAAUUAAAUUUUUAAUUGGGGUGAUUAAAAAAUUCAGACUUUUUUUAUUUAGAUCAUUUAUUUAUGUUUUAUUGAUCCUUAAUUUAAGAUUAAAAGAUAAAUUACCUUAGGGAUAACAGCGUGAUUUUAAUGAAAAGUUCAUAUUUAAAUUAAAGUUUGCGACCUCGAUGUUGAAUUAAAAAUAAAUUGUGGUGUAGGGGCUACAAUGUUAAGUCUGUUCGACUUUUAAAAUUUUACA
RNAcentral lists this ribosomal RNA (510 nucleotides) under Creberulidia spinifera. Its description in RNAcentral is "partial large subunit ribosomal RNA". The stretch from base 384 to 510 matches the Rfam family "Archaeal large subunit ribosomal RNA", at positions 2542 to 2669 of the family's 2987-position model. Lineage: Eukaryota; Metazoa; Arthropoda; Insecta; Hemiptera; Cicadellidae. The record is from RNAcentral.